GACGAACGCUGGCGGCGUGCUUAACACAUGCAAGUCGAACGGUGAACCUCUUCGGAGGGGAUCAGUGGCGAACGGGUGAGUAACACGUGGGCAACCUGCCCCCGGCUCUGGGAUAACUCCAAGAAAUUGGGGCUAAUACCGGAUGUUCACCGCUUCCCGCAUGGGUGGUGGUGGAAAGGGUUUCCGGCUGGGGAUGGGCCCGCGGCCUAUCAGCUUGUUGGUGGGGUAGUGGCCUACCAAGGCGACGACGGGUAGCCGGCCUGAGAGGGUGACCGGCCACACUGGGACUGAGACACGGCCCAGACUCCUACGGAAGGUAGCAGUGGGGAAUAUUGCGCAAUGGGCGGAAGCCUGACGCAGCGACGCCGCGUGGGGGAUGACGGCCUUCGGGUUGUAAACCUCUUUCAGCAGGGACGAAGCGCAAGUGACGGUACCUGCAGAAGAAGCACCGGCCAACUACGU
This 462-nucleotide ribosomal RNA is filed under the name uncultured bacterium. RNAcentral describes it as "partial 16S ribosomal RNA". It matches the Rfam family "Bacterial small subunit ribosomal RNA", at positions 28 to 506 of the family's 1533-position model. The record is from RNAcentral.